This 440-nucleotide ribosomal RNA is filed under the name uncultured bacterium. RNAcentral's name for it is "partial 16S ribosomal RNA". It matches the Rfam family "Bacterial small subunit ribosomal RNA", at positions 338 to 795 of the family's 1533-position model. The record is from RNAcentral.
CCUACGGGAGUCAGCAGUAGGGAAUAUUGCUCCAUGGGGGAAACCCUGAAGCAGCAACGCCUCGUGGAGGAUGAAGGUUUUCGGAUUGUAAACUCCUUUUGUUAGAGAAGAUAAUUACGGUAUCUAACGCAUAAGCACCGGCUAACUCCGUGCCAGCAGCCGCGGUAAUACGGAGAGUGCAAGCGUUACUCGGAAUCACUGGGCGUACAAAGCGCGUAGGCGGGAUAGCAAGUCAGAUGUGAAAUCCUAUGGGUGACCCAUAGAACUGCAUUUGAAACUGUUAUUCUAGAGUAUGGGAGAGGUAGGUGGAAUUCUUGGGGUAGGGGUAAAAUCCGUAGAGAUCAAGAGGAAUACUCAGUGCGAAGGCGACCUGCGAGAACAUAACGGACGCUGAUGCGCGAAAGCGUGGGGAGCAAACAGGAUUAGAUACCCGAGUAGGC